This 64-nucleotide transfer RNA is filed under the name Agonoscena pistaciae. RNAcentral describes it as "tRNA-Ala". Lineage: Eukaryota; Metazoa; Arthropoda; Insecta; Hemiptera; Aphalaridae. The record is from RNAcentral.
AGGGUUACAGUUUAACAUUAAACAUUUAAUUUGCAAUUAAAAGAAAACUAAUAGUUUAGCCUGA